AUAUAUAUAGGUAACAGACAACAGCUACGCAUGCGCGUAUGUACUGGUUUCUAAUCAAAUGAUACAGCAACGAGACAUGGGUAAUGGAAAGAUGAUAUCGAAGAUGAAAAAGCGACCAUGCAUAGGCAAAACACUUUUUCGUAAUUGCAAGAUUAAAAUGCCCUCUCCAUCAAGCGACCCUCUGUGACACGUUUAAAAAAUCGAAUUCUUUUUUUGAAAGAUCGAUUGAAGGCGCGCUAACACAAGCGUUCCCCAAGCUAGCGAUCUUCGCCGCUUCAAUAAUCUCACGUGUUGUUUGCGUUGGGCUUCUUCCUAUCACAGUGCACUGAUUAUAAAUGGGACUGCACCCAUGUUUCCUGCAGUGAAAAGCCAGAUGCCCCACUCCCAGUUAGCACAUUAUUUGCGUGUUCACGCAACCUAUCAUUUACGCAACUUCCCGUUUGACCGAUGUGCUUUUUGCCGCACAACAGGGGCAGUUCAUACACGAGAUAUUGUUCUCACAAAGAACAUAGCCUUCCUUGUGAUUUGUCCGGCAACUGGGCUUCUCAGAACCACAGUAGCUGGCCUUGCACAAGUUGGACAGCUUGAUUGGCGCUGAAAAGAUGACGCUUACAUUUGCGUUAUUAACAAUCUUCUUCAGUCUAUGCGAGAUAUCGUGGAUGUACGGUAUUAUUGCGCGUUUCUGCUUCACUCGCGCAAUUUUCAGUGAAGUGAACUGCUCAUCCUGUCGCCUGCGUUUUGCGGUCUUAGGGAGACCUUCGGCCACAGCUGUGAUGAUAUGCUGCGGAAAACCGGCCUGUUUCAGGCGAUCGACUAAUUGCGCCAGAAAACUGGCCAAACACUUGUGAGGACAUGAGCGGCGAAGCGCAUUCAUUAGGGUUGACUGCGAUGCCCCUUUGAACCAACUUUUUGAGGGACACCACGUGUGCUGGGCAUAUGAACCGCGGACGAACAAGCCGCUACUGCCAUUUUCAUCGGGCCACUCUAAGCAUACAGAGCGGACACUCCGAGAAAUCGGGCAUCAAGAACUGCGUCACGGCUACAUAACGAACUAGUGCUCUCACCAAACGCCAGAGGACGCAGGCGCAGAAAAAGAAAAUGUUGUAAUGAAUUCUGCUCAGUCGUUUUACAAAAUAAUAAUUAUACGCCCAAAUUUGGCGUGUUUCUUAUGCAUAAAAAUAGCAUUGAUCCAAGACACCUUCCGUGCUUUUUGUUUUUCAUUCGUGCUGCUAUAGUGAACUAUCUAGAACACCGUAGUGCUGCCAUAUCAACACCAAUCACCAUUCGUCCAUCGAGAAGAAAUCAACGAUUCGUGUACCAGCGGCGUUCCAGCGGGAAGGUUUCGUGAACGUCGGCUGCGGCGGUGUUUUCGUGUGUGAGACAGACUGCGCUGAUGCCAUGCCGUCUGGCGGUCCAAGCUACGGCAGCUACUGCUGUGUGUCGUGGUGCUUUAACAACGGCAGAACCCAGAAGAAGCCUAUCUUGCCUUGGAAUAAAGACAUUGCGCAAA
Molecule: long non-coding RNA, 1510 nt
Organism: Dermacentor andersoni
Lineage: Eukaryota; Metazoa; Arthropoda; Arachnida; Ixodida; Ixodidae
Source: RefSeq, a predicted model, not a curated record